UCUCCGUAGGUGAACCUGCGGAGGGAUCAUUACAGAGUUCAUGCCCUACCGGGUAGAUCUCCCACCCUAUGUUAUUAUUACUUUGUUGCUUUGGUGGGCCGUUAGGCUCCGGCCCGACUACCGGCCCCGGCUGGUGAGCGCCCGCCAGAGGACCCAAAACCCUGAAUAUUAGUGUCGUCUGAGUACUAUAUAAUAGUUAAAACUUUCAACAACGGAUCUCUUGGUCCUG
This 229-nucleotide unclassified non-coding RNA is filed under the name plant metagenome. RNAcentral describes it as "partial contains small subunit ribosomal RNA, internal transcribed spacer 1, and 5.8S ribosomal RNA". The record is from RNAcentral.